Long non-coding RNA from Engraulis encrasicolus (European anchovy), 470 nucleotides. RefSeq lists it as uncharacterized. NCBI's taxonomy places the organism in Eukaryota, Metazoa, Chordata, Actinopteri, Clupeiformes, Engraulidae. The transcript is spliced from 3 exons. The record is from RefSeq and is a predicted model, not a curated record.
CAAGCACUGAAUACAUAGCAAGGAUCCGCACUGUGGUUCAUGGGGGAUUGAGUGAAGCUGUCCCCAUUAAGAUCCUUACAAAAGCUGUUCCAAGCCCAGAGAAGCCAGCAGUGAUAUCAGCGACCACAACAUCUGCCAAGAUAAAGUGGGCUUCACCAGGAGGACUGCAAGGGCUUGCACCCAGUUUUCUACUCAAUAUAGAAGGACGUGAAAUUACUACAAAUUCAUGUGACUACCAUAUCCAAAACCUUAAGCCAGGCUCUGACUACACAGUCAACAUAUACGCUGUUCUGAAGGCCAGGAAGAGUCAACCUGUUUCGGUUGAAAUCCAUACACAGGUGCCACCACCAGAAAACGUGAAAGAGGUCUCAGUUUCUGAAACAUCUGCUGAGUUGAUAUGGACCUCACCACGUGAACUCCAUAACAUCGAACACAGUUUUGUGGUGAAAAUUAACAAUGGACCUGAGAAA